UACGGAGGGGGCUAGCGUUGUUCGGAAUUACUGGGCGUAAAGCGCACGUAGGCGGCUACUCAAGUCAGAGGUGAAAGCCCGGGGCUCAACCCCGGAACUGCCUUUGAAACUAGGUGGCUAGAAUCUUGGAGAGGUCAGUGGAAUUCCGAGUGUAGAGGUGAAAUUCGUAGAUAUUCGGAAGAACACCAGUGGCGAAGGCGACUGACUGGACAAGUAUUGACGCUGAGGUGCGAAAGCGUGGGGAGCAAACAGG
RNAcentral lists this ribosomal RNA (253 nucleotides) under uncultured bacterium. RNAcentral describes it as "partial 16S ribosomal RNA". It matches the Rfam family "Bacterial small subunit ribosomal RNA", at positions 524 to 776 of the family's 1533-position model. The record is from RNAcentral.